CCUACGGGUGGCAGCAGUGGGGAAUAUUGGACAAUGGGCGAAAGCCUGAUCCAGCCAUGCCGCGUGUGUGAAGAAGGCCUUCGGGUUGUAAAGCACUUUCAGUGGGGAAGAAAGCCUUGGGGCUAAUACCCUCGAGGAAGGACAUCACCCACAGAAGAAGCACCGGCUAACUCCGUGCCAGCAGCCGCGGUAAUACGGAGGGUGCGAGCGUUAAUCGGAAUUACUGGGCGUAAAGCGCGCGUAGGCGGUCUGAUAAGCCGGUUGUGAAAGCCCCGGGCUCAACCUGGGAACGGCAUCCGGAACUGUCAGGCUAGAGUGCAGGAGAGGAAGGUAGAAUUCCCGGUGUAGCGGUGAAAUGCGUAGAGAUCGGGAGGAAUACCAGAGGCGAAGGCGGCCUUCUGGACUGACACUGACGCUGAGGUGCGAAAGCGUGGGUAGCAAACAGGAUUAGAUACCCUUGUAGUC
Molecule: ribosomal RNA, 465 nt
Filed under: Vreelandella stevensii
Lineage: Bacteria; Pseudomonadati; Pseudomonadota; Gammaproteobacteria; Oceanospirillales; Halomonadaceae
Description: partial 16S ribosomal RNA
Rfam family: Bacterial small subunit ribosomal RNA
Source: RNAcentral